RNAcentral lists this ribosomal RNA (408 nucleotides) under bacterium enrichment culture clone ALO1_GLFRUDD03HE41F. Its description in RNAcentral is "bacterial SSU rRNA". It matches the Rfam family "Bacterial small subunit ribosomal RNA", at positions 9 to 417 of the family's 1533-position model. The record is from RNAcentral.
GAGUUUGAUCCUGGCUCAGAUUGAACGCUGGCGGCAUGCCUUACACAUGCAAGUCGAACGGCAGCACGGGAGCUUGCUCCUGGUGGGCGAGUGGCGAACGGGUGAGUAAUGCAUCGGAACGUAUCCUGGAGUGGGGGAUAACGUAGCGAAAGUUACGCUAAUACCGCAUAUUCUGUGAGCAGGAAAGCGGGGGACCUUCGGGCCUCGCGCUCUUGGAGCGGCCGAUGUCGGAUUAGCUAGUUGGUGAGGUAAAGGCUCACCAAGGCGACGAUCCGUAGCAGGUCUGAGAGGAUGAUCUGCCACACUGGAACUGAGACACGGUCCAGACUCCUACGGGAGGCAGCAGUGGGAAUUUUGGACAAUGGGGGCAACCCUGAUCCAGCCAUGCCGCGUGAGUGAAGAAGGCCG